GACGAACGCUGGCGGCGUGCUUAACACAUGCAAGUCGAACGAUGAACCCGGAGCUUGCUCUGGGGGAUUAGUGGCGAACGGGUGAGUAACACGUGAGUAACCUGCCCUGGACUCUGGGAUAAGCGUUGGAAACGACGUCUAAUACCGGAUAGGACCUUGGAUCGCAUGAUCUGGGAUGGAAAGUUUUUUCGGUCUGGGAUGGACUCGCGGCCUAUCAGCUUGUUGGUGAGGUAAUGGCUCACCAAGGCGUCGACGGGUAGCCGGCCUGAGAGGGUGACCGGCCACACUGGGACUGAGACACGGCCCAGACUCCGACGGGAGGCAGCAGUGGGGAAUAUUGCACAAUGGGCGAAAGCCUGAUGCAGCAACGCCGCGUGCGGGAUGACGGCCUUCGGGUUGUAAACCGCUUUUAGUAGGGAAGAAGGGCUUCGGCUUGACGGUACCUGCAGAAAAAGGACCGGCUAACUACGUG
This 472-nucleotide ribosomal RNA is filed under the name uncultured bacterium. RNAcentral describes it as "partial 16S ribosomal RNA". It matches the Rfam family "Bacterial small subunit ribosomal RNA", at positions 28 to 507 of the family's 1533-position model. The record is from RNAcentral.